UUGAUAAUUCUUGGACGCCUCCGGCAUGUGAACUUGGAGGUAAAGGAUCUGUUGAUGAUUGUGUGGACAGUUUGUGUCUGUUUGCGUAGGUUUAUAGACCAUGUUGUAGAGUUGAUUUCACCUUGACUUGGAAAUUACUCAAUGCCAUAGUUUGGUAUAGGAGAGGUGGCCGGAUGAUGGAUUGAUCUUGGACUGGAAAGGAGAUGUGAAUAGUAGAGUAGAGCUAAGAUUAAAGUAAGGUCGAUUCGGCAGUUGGGGUGUUAGAUUCAUUGUUGUACUCAUCAAUGGAAACUCCUAAUUUAGCAAAAUCAUUGUUGAAGAGAAAUGACGAGAUAUAUGCCAAUUCCAUUACACAUUGAAAUUCCUUCUUCUUUACGUUAGGUAAUGUCCACUGGCUGUACAUACCAAAAUAGAAUUGUGUCUAUGUUGAAGUUGGUUAAGCAAUUUAGGAUUUCCAGUUACAUGCUUGAUUGAUUGCUCUAGUGUAGAGUAUCUAUGUACUGUUGUUGAAGACGGACAUUGUUAGUACAACUUCAAACAUCAAGGCAACAACGUUUUUGUCAUUUUUUUCCUCCUCCAGAACAAGUUUGUACUUCUUCCCUUUGUUUUGCUACAUGAGAGAGGUGAAGAUGGCUUUGAACUCAUUAUCUUUUUGCUCUAAAGAUGAAUCAUCAUCACUGUCUUGGUUCUGAUGGUGAAUUGUGUUGACUUGAUAGAUUCGGCUUAAUAUUGUUGUUGGUGGUACAUGUGCGUUCUUGUUGCAGUUUCUCACCCAGUGCCCCUAUUUGCUGCAAUAGCUACAAUAUCCUUGUUUUGCUUGUGGAAGAAAAAAAAUUGUCAUUUGCUCUCUUAUAUUUGUUCUCUUGAACUUUGCAACUUUGGAACAUCUUUUGAAACUAGACCACCAAAUCCUCUUCAUCUACUUGUCUGGAUUUGUUGUUUCUUCUUGUCUCCCGUAGUUUGAGCCAAUCAGGAAGAUCCUCAAAGCUAGGCAUGUCUUUCAAGCCUAAGAUGUUUGUGACAAAGUUGUCAAAGCUCA
This 1039-nucleotide long non-coding RNA is filed under the name Physcomitrium patens. Its description in RNAcentral is "long non-coding RNA (PPAT_LNC011570)". The record is from RNAcentral. Lineage: Eukaryota; Viridiplantae; Streptophyta; Bryopsida; Funariales; Funariaceae.